AAAGUUUUAAGUUAACAAUAAACUAAUAAUCUUCAAAAUUAUCAAUAAAAUUAAAUUAUUUUAAGCUUUA
This 70-nucleotide transfer RNA is filed under the name Silo nigricornis. Its description in RNAcentral is "tRNA-Trp". Lineage: Eukaryota; Metazoa; Arthropoda; Insecta; Trichoptera; Goeridae. The record is from RNAcentral.